This 522-nucleotide long non-coding RNA is filed under the name Anas platyrhynchos platyrhynchos (common mallard). RNAcentral describes it as "lncRNA (ENSAPLG00000026686.1)". The record is from RNAcentral. Lineage: Eukaryota; Metazoa; Chordata; Aves; Anseriformes; Anatidae.
CUGAGAUCAACUGGUAAACAGUAUGACUAUGAGUCAAUCAUUUUACCCCAUAAAUAGUAAACAGCCCAAGAGCCUUUUGAGCUUUCCUGCAUAGGAGUGGGCUGUGUGACAGGACCUCCCCUUGAGUAGGAACACCUCUCAAGCAAGCUGAGACUUGCUUGCUGUGACUGAUCCUUGAUGGGUGCCUAGAAUGACUGAACUUUUAGCAGUCAGCCUGGACUCAGAAGAGGAGAAAGACAGCUGCAUUUCAAGAUGCAAACAUGGCAACAUUACACUUCUGGAGCAUCACUAAAACCAAGUACAACAUCCCUGAAAAGUGAAACAUGGUCAGGAAGGAGCAACUGUCAGUUAACUUCAGGACAAAAGGAUUACACCAUGAAUCCAUGCAAGACUUAGCCAAGGCAAUUACAGGCAUCACUAACAAGAUCUGAACAGCCUCUGACACACAGAUCAAUUUAGAAAUAGAAUGCUAAGGUAACAUCCUGCCCCCAUCCACACAAAUAAAACCACCACACCUGCCCA